AUACGGAGGGUGCAAGCGUUACUCGGAAUCACUGGGCGUAAAGCGCGCGCAGGCGGCUUGAUAAGUUGGAUGUGAAAGCCAACGGCUCAACCGUAGAACUGCAUCCAAAACUGUCAAGCUAGAGUCUGGGAGGGGAAGAUGGAAUUAGUUGUGUAGGGGUAAAAUCCGUAGAGAUAACUAGGAAUACCAAAAGCGAAGGCGAUCUUCUGGAACAGUACUGACGCUGAGGCGCGAAAGCGUGGGGAGCGAACAGGAUUAGAUACCCCAGUAGUCC
Molecule: ribosomal RNA, 274 nt
Filed under: uncultured bacterium
Lineage: Bacteria
Description: partial 16S ribosomal RNA
Rfam family: Bacterial small subunit ribosomal RNA
Source: RNAcentral